UACGAAGGGGGCUAGCGUUGUUCGGAAUCACUGGGCGUAAAGCGCACGUAGGCGGAUCUUUAAGUCAGGGGUGAAAUCCCGAGGCUCAACCUCGGAACUGCCUUUGAUACUGGGGAUCUCGAGUCCGGGAGAGGAGCGUGGAAUUCCCAGUGUAGAGGUGAAAUUCGUAGAUAUUGGGAAGAACACCAGUGGCGAAGGCGGCUUACUGGUCCGGUUCUGACGCUGAGGCGCGAAAGCGUGGGGAGCAAACAGG
RNAcentral lists this ribosomal RNA (253 nucleotides) under uncultured bacterium. RNAcentral's name for it is "partial 16S ribosomal RNA". It matches the Rfam family "Bacterial small subunit ribosomal RNA", at positions 524 to 776 of the family's 1533-position model. The record is from RNAcentral.